GUGAUUGACUCAUCAGAAGUUCCUUUUCUGGAGUAAUUAUUUAAGAUAGAUAGAUGUUAGGUACUAGUAGUACCAGAUGUAGCAAUCCCUUUUCUUCUCUCUAAAUGCCAAUGGAAUAUAACCACUCGGAUUCGAAGAUGACCUUCCCCUCUUUCUGGACUUUGCUUUCUCCCUACUCUCCUCAUUUGCUUCGCUUGGAGAAUUGUUUUCCAGGGAGGUUGCUGUUCCUGUCGUAAUCUUCUUCUUUCCCUUUUUAUCCCUAGCUUCCAAAUCAUCGAGAUAGGCAUUAGCAAGAUGAGGAGGGGCUAUAAUUUGAUCAAAUUCACUCCAACCCAUCUUUUCAGAGUUUCCAUCAUCAUACUCCACCUUGAACAAUUUAUUGACAGCAUCAAAGGCUACAACAUUGCCCAUGCAUCUCCUACCAUCAAAUACUUUCGUUACAAUAGUUCCAAUCUUUUCUCUUCCUUCAGCAAUCAUGUCAUCAUGUUCCAGCAAUUCGGCUCUCACUUUCGCAUGCAAGGCAUUAACAAAUCCACAGCCUACUUUAUUCUUCGCUUCCUCUUCCUCUUUUAUGCUAAAAAAUGCUGAUUUGCUUUGAACAUCAGAGUUGAGCGGUUCAUAUGAGUCUAUUGGUUCAUCUUUCACCUUUCCCUUACUGCAGUCAAUUUCCAUAGAGUUGCUCAUUUUCAAAUAUGCAAAACUCCUGCCACUAUCCCCACAAGUAGGUCUAACACACACAUACACACACAAGUACUUGAUAAGAAGCUGAGAAUGAGGGAUAUGGCAAACUGGGACGAUAGGGCUAUUGAAAUAGCUGAAUUUUCAGUUGGUUUGAGGGCUCAUUAAUAAAUGACACCUGCACGUAGAUUCAUCCAUGGGGCCAUUCAAGCAAAAUGACUAAACCCUAUAUUGCACAUAUGGAAAAUAAUUAAUGUGUUGCCUUGUAAGGCAAAA
RNAcentral lists this unclassified non-coding RNA (954 nucleotides) under Hevea brasiliensis (rubber tree). Lineage: Eukaryota; Viridiplantae; Streptophyta; Magnoliopsida; Malpighiales; Euphorbiaceae. The record is from RNAcentral.